UUCUAGUGUGGUGCGGAUAUGAUCGAAC
RNAcentral lists this small RNA (28 nucleotides) under Bombyx mori (domestic silkworm). Its description in RNAcentral is "ovarian small RNA-37479". The record is from RNAcentral. Lineage: Eukaryota; Metazoa; Arthropoda; Insecta; Lepidoptera; Bombycidae.